CUUGCAUCGAUGAAGAACGCAGUGAAAUGCGAUAAGUAAUGUGAAUUGCAGAAUCUCGUGAAUCAUUGAAUCUUUGAACGCACAUUGCGCCCUAUGGUAUUCCGUAGGGCAUGCCUGUCUGAGCGUCA
RNAcentral lists this ribosomal RNA (128 nucleotides) under Oedocephalum adhaerens. Its description in RNAcentral is "5.8S ribosomal RNA". It matches the Rfam family "5.8S ribosomal RNA", at positions 27 to 154 of the family's 154-position model. From Rfam's summary of the family: 5.8S ribosomal RNA (5.8S rRNA) is a component of the large subunit of the eukaryotic ribosome. It is transcribed by RNA polymerase I as part of the 45S precursor that also contains 18S and 28S rRNA. The record is from RNAcentral. Lineage: Eukaryota; Fungi; Ascomycota; Pezizomycetes; Pezizales; Pezizaceae.